RNAcentral lists this long non-coding RNA (773 nucleotides) under Solanum tuberosum (potato). RNAcentral's name for it is "long non-coding RNA (STUB_LNC002169)". The record is from RNAcentral. Lineage: Eukaryota; Viridiplantae; Streptophyta; Magnoliopsida; Solanales; Solanaceae.
CCCCCAACGUUGGAUUUAUGUGGUUAAACAAGAUUGUCUUCUCAACCAACAAACAUUUGUCGAUUUGUCUCCCUCACUACAAUAUUUAUGUGGACUUAGAUCAUUACAAGUAUUGGACCACUUUCCACUAAAUUGUCUUCAACUCCCAUUAUUUGAACACCUCUACUAUUGUACCUUUUUUUUUUUUUUUUUUUCUUAAAGCUGCUCACUUAAAGCCAAUCUUCACUGACACUUCCAUUAAAAUCGUUGAUUUUUUGGUUGCUUUGAAGUAACUUUUUUUCCCUAAGGGGUAAUAAAAUUAAGACACUUCUACCAGUACCAAUACUUACCGAAAAAACGAGGAAAUAUUUUUUUAAAAUCUUUUUAGGUUAAUUACGAAUAACUCAAGGGUAGCUAGACAACAUGUUUAAUGGUAAAUUUUGAAUAUGAUGAAUAACCACAUAUACUAGAUAUUCCUUUUAUGCAAAAGUAAAUAGUAAAUAAUAACACACGUGAAAAUACUUAAUAAUCUUUAUUUUUUUCCUUUUUUUUUUUUUUUUUUUAUCUUAAAGCUGCUCACUUAAAGCCAAUCUUCACUGACACUUCCAUUAAAAUCGUUGAUUUUUUGGUUGCUUUGAAGUAACUUUUUUUCCCUAAGGGGUAAUAAAAUUAAGACACUUCUACCAGUACCAAUACUUACCGAAAAAACGAGGAAAUAUUUUUUUAAAAUCUUUUUAGGUUAAUUACGAAUAACUCAAGGGUAGCUAGACAACAUGUUUAAUGGUAAAUUUUGA